UCCCCCAUGGCCCAAUGGCUAAGGCGUCCGACUGUUAUCAACGGCAAUCGGGAGAUUCGAAGUUCGAUCCUUCGUGGGGGAG
Epicoccum nigrum is the source of this 82-nucleotide non-coding RNA. Lineage: Eukaryota; Fungi; Ascomycota; Dothideomycetes; Pleosporales; Didymellaceae. The record is from the annotation of a GenBank genome assembly.